CAGGUUUGUUAUUGCUUUUCAGCAUUUGGUUACGUUUCCAGCUAGGCAGAUAUUCGACGAAACUCUUGCGAACAUAGUUGGAAUCAGUUAUGAUCACAAAUUCUUUGAUACCAUAUUUUAUUGCCAUUUGAAUGGUCUUAUAUACUGCACAGAUUUCGGCUAUCUGACUGCUUUUGGGACCAAUAUUGUAUCCUAUAGAUACAUUGGGAUAAUCACCUAUCCAGGCGAUUCCGAUACCUGCAACUAACUUCCGUUCAGCACCAGCGGCGUGGUGAUAUGAACAACCAUCAAUGUAUACCCACGGUAGUGGUCGACAGUAUUCCUCGUCAUAAAC
This is a non-coding RNA of Pelobates cultripes (western spadefoot toad), 334 nucleotides long. Lineage: Eukaryota; Metazoa; Chordata; Amphibia; Anura; Pelobatidae. The record is from the annotation of a GenBank genome assembly.